GCUGAGCUAUGCUUUAGAUUGGUGAAUUUUUGUGCUUAUUGGUGACUGUUGUGACUGUUUCAGGAGACAAACAGUGGAGCUAAAGCUGACUGUAUUCGUGUAGAGUCUGAUGGUGUCUCUGGUAAUGAUGUCCACUCCACCCAACAUCCAGAGACUAAGUCUUCGGGCUGCAAUCAGAUCUUGAAGCCGAGAUGGAACCAUCUGCAGAGCAAACCUCAAAACCCUGAGCAGUCACCAACAGAACCAACCAGUACCACAUCAGUUCCCAAAGCUGUUAAGGUUGUUAAGAAGAAGAAAUGGGAGACUGAUGAGGUAAAAGCAAUUGAAAAACAUUUGAAUAGAUUCAUCAAGGCCUG
RNAcentral lists this long non-coding RNA (356 nucleotides) under Astyanax mexicanus (Mexican tetra). RNAcentral's name for it is "lncRNA (ENSAMXG00005008809.1)". Lineage: Eukaryota; Metazoa; Chordata; Actinopteri; Characiformes; Acestrorhamphidae. The record is from RNAcentral.